Chenopodium quinoa (quinoa) is the source of this 786-nucleotide long non-coding RNA. RefSeq lists it as uncharacterized. The transcript has 2 exons. NCBI's taxonomy places the organism in Eukaryota, Viridiplantae, Streptophyta, Magnoliopsida, Caryophyllales, Amaranthaceae. The record is from RefSeq and is a predicted model, not a curated record.
AAAAUCGGGGUUCCAAUAGGUAUAUAUAGGAGUCGCAAAACAAAAACCGAUUAAAGCAAGUACCCAGGGAGGCGUGCCUGCGCGGGCUAGGAGGCACGCUCGCGCAGCUGGGCUACGCGUAGAGCUGGAAAAAAAUGACCCAACCCGAACCCGACUCGAAAAAAGCGAGUUAAGGUUGAGUUUUUCGACUCGAAAACUUAAAUGGGUCGACACGAACGCGAAAUUAAAUGGGUUAGGUUAAGGUUGAAAAUCUCAACCCAAAAACGAACCACUUAACCCAAAAACAUAAUUGCGUCGAAAUCAGGUCGGGUUAACCCGAACCCGACCUGAAUAACCUAAAAAAAAAAUCAGGAAAAAAAAACUUUAUAGAACCCUUACAGUAACCAGCCCAAAUUCAUGCCCAUAUAAAUGUAAAACCCUAGGGCUUCUUUUAUCAGUUGUAGCCGCUCAACACCCCUCCUCUCUCUCUCUUAAUUUUAUGAUUUUCUCCCUCUAAAAUCUCAAGCUCUCAACACUUCUUUAAGGGCUUCAAUCAUCUAUCUGCAGCCAAGAUCCUCAAUUGCAAAGCUUGUUAUUAUUAUGAACAGGAUGGUACGCCACCACUUGCAUCGCUUGCCCAAAAUUGAACCCGUCAAUGAAAUCAAAGUUUUUGUUUAAAAACCUGUAAAAACAUUUGUAUCAUUUGAACUUUUUGUAAUUUGCUAAGUACAUCAGACAUUAAAUAAACUUGGGUUUGUAAUUUAUUAAGAGUUAAAUAAUGUUUAUCAGCUUUUGGUUUGGAUUUAA